UACGUAGGGUGCGAGCGUUAAUCGGAAUUACUGGGCGUAAAGCGUGCGCAGGCGGUUUGAUAAGCCAGAUGUGAAAUCCCCGAGCUCAACUUGGGAACUGCGUUUGGAACUGUCAGACUAGAGAGCGUCAGAGGGGGGUGGAAUUCCGCGUGUAGCAGUGAAAUGCGUAGAGAUGCGGAGGAACACCGAUGGCGAAGGCAGCCCCCUGGGAUGACACUGACGCUCAUGCACGAAAGCGUGGGGAGCAAACAGG
This 253-nucleotide ribosomal RNA is filed under the name uncultured bacterium. Its description in RNAcentral is "partial 16S ribosomal RNA". It matches the Rfam family "Bacterial small subunit ribosomal RNA", at positions 524 to 776 of the family's 1533-position model. The record is from RNAcentral.